Molecule: non-coding RNA, 127 nt
Filed under: Chloropicon mariensis
Lineage: Eukaryota; Viridiplantae; Chlorophyta; Chloropicophyceae; Chloropicales; Chloropicaceae
Source: RNAcentral
ACACAAACGACAACCGAAAAAAAUUGACGGAGAAGGAAGAAGGAAGGAAAAACAGUUUUCGCUCACCAUUCACCAUUCACUAUUCCCAUUCACAAUUUUUUUUUUAUAAUUUCUAUUUUUAUUUCUU